CACGUAGGGGCCAAGCGUUGUCCGGAUUUAUUGGGCGUAAAGAGCUCGUAGGCGGCUCGGUAAGUCGGGUGUGAAACCUCCAGGCUCAACCUGGAGACGCCACUCGAUACUGCUGUGGCUAGAGUCCGGUAGGGGAGCGUGGAAUUCCUGGUGUAGCGGUGAAAUGCGCAGAUAUCAGGAGGAACACCAGCGGCGAAGGCGGCGCUCUGGGCCGGAACUGACGCUGAGGAGCGAAAGCGUGGGUAGCAAACAGG
RNAcentral lists this ribosomal RNA (254 nucleotides) under uncultured bacterium. RNAcentral's name for it is "partial 16S ribosomal RNA". It matches the Rfam family "Bacterial small subunit ribosomal RNA", at positions 524 to 776 of the family's 1533-position model. The record is from RNAcentral.